CAGCCGCCACGGGAAUACGUAGGUGGCAAGCGUUGUCCGGAAUUAUUGGGCGUAAAGCGCGCGCAGGUGGUUUAAUAAGUCUGAUGUGAAAGCCCACGGCUCAACCGUGGAGGGUCAUUGGAAACUGUUAAACUUGAGUGCAGGAGAGAAAAGUGGAAUUCCCAGUGUAGCGGUGAAAUGCGUAGAGAUUAGGAGGUACACCAGUGGCGAAGGCGGCUUUUUGGCCUGUAACUGACACUGAGGCGCGAAAGCGUGGGGAGCAAACAGGAUUAGAUACCCGCGUAGUCCCUGUCUCUUAUAC
Molecule: ribosomal RNA, 301 nt
Filed under: uncultured bacterium
Lineage: Bacteria
Description: partial 16S ribosomal RNA
Rfam family: Bacterial small subunit ribosomal RNA
Source: RNAcentral